GACGAACGCUGGCGGCGUGCUUAACACAUGCAAGUCGAACGGAAAGGCCCUGCUUGUGUGGGGUGCUCGAGUGGCGAACGGGUGAGUAACACGUGAGUAACCUGCCCUGGACUUUGUGAUAACUUCAGGAAACUGGUGCUAAUACCGGAUAGGAGCUCCUGCUGCAGGGUGGGGUUUGGAAAGUUUCGGCGGUUGGGGGUGGACGCGCGGCUUAUCAGCUUGUUGGUGGGGUAGUGGCUUACCAAGGCUUUGACGGGUGGCCGGCCUGAGAGGGUGACCGGCCACAUUGGGACUGAGAUACGGCCCAGACUCCUACGGGAGGCAGCAGUGGGGAAUAUUGCACAAUGGGCGGAAGCCUGAUGAAGCAACGCCGCGUGCGGGAUGACGGCUUUCGGGUUGUAAACCGCUUUCGCCUGUGACGAAGCGUGAGUGACGGUAAUGGGUAAAGAAGCACCGGCUAACUACGUG
RNAcentral lists this ribosomal RNA (468 nucleotides) under uncultured bacterium. RNAcentral's name for it is "partial 16S ribosomal RNA". It matches the Rfam family "Bacterial small subunit ribosomal RNA", at positions 28 to 507 of the family's 1533-position model. The record is from RNAcentral.